AUUGAACGCUGGCGGCAGGCCUAACACAUGCAAGUCGAACGAGUGGCGGACGGGUGAGUAAUAUCUGGGAAACUGCCUGAUGGAGGGGGAUAACUACUGGAAACGGUAUCUAAUACCGCAUACCAUCGGAUGUGCCCAGAUGGGCUUAGCUUGUAGGUGGGGUAAAGGCACCCCUAGGCGACGAUCCCUAUCUGGUCUGAGAGGAUGACCAGCCACACGGGAACGGAGACACGGCCCAGACUCCUACGGGAGGCAGCAGUGGGGAAUAUGGCACAAUGGGCGCAAGCCUGAUGCAGCCAUGCCGCGUGUAUGAAGAAGGCCUUCGGGUUGUAAAGUACUUUCAGCGGGGAGGCGUUACCCGCAGAAGAAGCACCGGCUAACUCCGUGCCAGCAGCCGCGGUAAUAC
Molecule: ribosomal RNA, 406 nt
Filed under: uncultured bacterium
Lineage: Bacteria
Description: partial 16S ribosomal RNA
Rfam family: Bacterial small subunit ribosomal RNA
Source: RNAcentral